This 1407-nucleotide long non-coding RNA is filed under the name Ananas comosus (pineapple). RNAcentral's name for it is "long non-coding RNA (ACOM_LNC034123)". Lineage: Eukaryota; Viridiplantae; Streptophyta; Magnoliopsida; Poales; Bromeliaceae. The record is from RNAcentral.
UAUAUAGUUGAGCUGGAAUGCUAUCGGUAAUAAACGGUUCGGUUUACUACCGAUUUGUUUUCGAUGAUAGAGCUUCCAAAUUGAUGAUCGGCACCGUUAAACAUGAUCUAAACUAUUUAAACUAUCUGGAAAUCAAAUUUCACACAUUUUCGAUAUUGUUCUCUUGUCCAUCAAGUGAACAGAAAAUGAAUAGCUGGAAAUGAAUAUCCUUCAAAAAGUGAUGAUACAAUUUUUAUAUUUGAGAUUUAGAGUCUAGAUCUUAUUUUAAAUAGUUUAAAGAAUUUUUUAAUAAAAAUUUAGUUGAUUUGAACUCUUCUAUACCGUUAAACGAGCAAACGCACCAUAUCGGCCAUUAAAAUUAUAGAUUUUGUGACCCUUUGAUCGUUCAGUUAGUGAUGCCAAAAAAUCAUGAAAUUUGAUUUCUAGAUAAUUUAAAUGGUUUAGAUCAUGUUCAACGGUGCCGAUCAUCGAUUUGGAAGUUCUAUCAUCAAAAACAAAUCGGUAGUAAACCGAGCAGUUUACUACCGAUAGUAGCCCAGUCAAACUCUCUCUAUAUAUAUAUAUAGAGUCCAGCUACUAUGCUAUAUAUUAAUAGUACGAAGCACUUGGUGCUGCCAAGUUUUCCACCGUUAGAUCUACCAUUUUGAUCAUUUUCACCCGUUAGAUUAUACUAUUCAACCAAUCACCCACUCAACCCUAGAGAAUCACUAUCAAUUUAAUCCGGGACCACUAUCAUCCUAACCGCGCAUCCUUUCAUCCAACGGCUGAAAACUCAAUAGUACCAAGGGUUUGAUACUAUUGAUAGUAUAGUAGCAUAAUUUUAUAUAUAUAUAGUUGAGCUGGAAUGCUAUCAGUAGCAAACGGACUCCGUUGUCACCCAUUUAUUUUCGAUGAUGGAGCCUCCAAAUCGACGAUCGGCACCGUUGAAAAUGAUAUAUACCACUUGAAGUAUCUAGAAAUUAAAUUUCAUACUUUUUCGAUAUUGUUUUCUUGUCCAUCAAAUGGGCGUAAAAAUGAAUGGCUGAAAAUGAAUAUUCUUUAAAAAGUGAUGAUAGAAAUUUUGUAAUCAUGAUCGAGAGUAUAGAUCUUGUUCUAAAUAGUUUAAAGAAUUUUUCAACCAAAAUUCAAUUGAUUUGGAUAACUUUACACCGUUAAAUAAGAAAACCCCUCAUAUCAAUCAUUAAAAUUACUAAUUUUGAAACCCUUUGAUCAUUAGGUAAAUGAUGUCGAAAAGAUUUGAAAUUUGAUUUUUAGAUACGUCAAGUUAUAUAGAUCAUGUUCAACGGUGCCGAUCGUCGAUUUAAAAGCUUCAUCAUCGAAAAUAAAUGGGUGGCAACGGAGCCUGUUUGCUACCGAUAGCAUUCCAGCUCAACUAUAUAUAUAUAUAUAUAUAAAAGUUUUAGAAUG